Molecule: transfer RNA, 77 nt
Filed under: Gammaproteobacteria bacterium
Lineage: Bacteria; Pseudomonadati; Pseudomonadota; Gammaproteobacteria
Description: tRNA-Met
Rfam family: tRNA
About the family: Transfer RNA (tRNA) molecules are approximately 80 nucleotides in length. Their secondary structure includes four short double-helical elements and three loops (D, anti-codon, and T loops).
Source: RNAcentral
UGCGGGGUGGAGCAGCCUGGUAGCUCGUCGGGCUCAUAACCCGAAGGUCGCAGGUUCAAAUCCUGCCCCCGCAACCA